GCUCAUGCAGUGGAAGAAGACGUCUGAACGCUCACUGAUCAUGAACCUGACCUCUGUGGAGGUCAUGGGGCAAGAGCAGCUCCAGACUCAUCUACUCUAGCUAGAGGAGGAGAUUUAGCAAAGCAGGAGGAGGAGAGAAGACAAGAGUACCGUCCCCUCAUUGCCGGCAAAUAGCAUUCUCUUCAUCUCUCCGUGGGCUGGGAGGGGAACACAGCAGCAUAUGCUCCCCUACAGGGAAAGAGUACAGAGUACCCUCCUGAGUUCCCUUCCCUCGCAGAAAACGAACGAACUGUGUGGAGCCAAAGAAAAUACGAUCACACCCUUCCUGACACUUAGAGCUGUGGGGGCCAAGUGUAAUUGGCCUAGA
Mustela erminea (ermine) is the source of this 367-nucleotide long non-coding RNA. RefSeq lists it as uncharacterized. NCBI's taxonomy places the organism in Eukaryota, Metazoa, Chordata, Mammalia, Carnivora, Mustelidae. The transcript has 3 exons. The record is from RefSeq and is a predicted model, not a curated record.